CAGUAGCCACGGUAAUAUGUAGGGUGCAAGCGUUAAUCGGAAUUACUGGGCGUAAAGCGUGCGCAGGCGGUUUGUUAAGACAGAUGUGAAAUCCCCGGGCUCAACCUGGGAACUGCAUUUGUGACUGGCAAGCUAGAGUAUGGCAGAGGGGGGUGGAAUUCCGCGUGUAGCAGUGAAAUGCGUAGAUAUGCGGAGGAACACCGAUGGCGUAGGCAGCCCCCUGGGCCAAUACUGACGCUCAUGCACGAAAGCGUGGGGAGCAAACAGGAUUAGAUACCCGUGUAGUCCCUGUCUCUUAUAC
Molecule: ribosomal RNA, 301 nt
Filed under: uncultured bacterium
Lineage: Bacteria
Description: partial 16S ribosomal RNA
Rfam family: Bacterial small subunit ribosomal RNA
Source: RNAcentral